This 440-nucleotide ribosomal RNA is filed under the name uncultured bacterium. RNAcentral's name for it is "partial 16S ribosomal RNA". It matches the Rfam family "Bacterial small subunit ribosomal RNA", at positions 338 to 795 of the family's 1533-position model. The record is from RNAcentral.
CCUACGGGAGGCAGCAGUGGGGAAUAUUGCUCAAUGGGGGAAACCCUGAAGCAGCAACGCCGCGUGGAGGAUGACGGUCCUAGGGUUGUAAACCCUCUUUGUUCGGGAAGCUUAUGACGGUAGUUAACGAAUAAGCACCGGCUAACUACGGGCCAGCAGCCGUGGUAACACGGCGGGUGCAAGCGUUACUCGGAAUAACUGGGCGUAAAGGGUGCGUAGUCGGGAUAAUAAGUCAGAUGUGAAAUCCUGGGGCUUAACUACAGAGCUGCAUUUGAAACUGGUACUCUGGAGUGGGGGAGAGGUAUGUGGAAUGCUUGGUGUAGGGGUGAAAUCCGUAGAGAUCACGAAGAAUACUCAUUGCGAAGGCGACCUACUGGAGCCUUACUGACGCUGAGGCACGAAAGCGUGGGGAGCGAACAGGAUUAGAUACCCGUGUAGUC